Molecule: non-coding RNA, 468 nt
Filed under: Rossellomorea vietnamensis
Lineage: Bacteria; Bacillati; Bacillota; Bacilli; Caryophanales; Bacillaceae
Description: Bacillus vietnamensis Bacterial small subunit ribosomal RNA
Rfam family: Bacterial small subunit ribosomal RNA
Source: Rfam by way of RNAcentral
UUAUCGGAGAGUUUGAUCCUGGCUCAGGACGAACGCUGGCGGCGUGCCUAAUACAUGCAAGUCGAGCGGAUUGAUGGGAGCUUGCUCCCUGAUAUCAGCGGCGGACGGGUGAGUAACACGUGGGUAACCUGCCUGUAAGACUGGGAUAACUCCGGGAAACCGGGGCUAAUACCGGAUAACUCAUUUCCUCGCAUGAGGAAAUGAUGAAAGAUGGCUUCUUGCUAUCACUUACAGAUGGACCCGCGGCGCAUUAGCUAGUUGGUGAGGUAACGGCUCACCAAGGCAACGAUGCGUAGCCGACCUGAGAGGGUGAUCGGCCACACUGGGACUGAGACACGGCCCAGACUCCUACGGGAGGCAGCAGUAGGGAAUCUUCCGCAAUGGACGAAAGUCUGACGGAGCAACGCCGCGUGAGUGAUGAAGGUUUUCGGAUCGUAAAGCUCUGUUGUUAGGGAAGAACAAGUGCCG